This 72-nucleotide transfer RNA is filed under the name Methanoplanus endosymbiosus. RNAcentral describes it as "tRNA-Thr". It matches the Rfam family "tRNA". Rfam says of the family: Transfer RNA (tRNA) molecules are approximately 80 nucleotides in length. The record is from RNAcentral. Lineage: Archaea; Methanobacteriati; Methanobacteriota; Methanomicrobia; Methanomicrobiales; Methanomicrobiaceae.
GCCGCUGUGGCUUAGUGGUAUAGCGGCUGAUUCGUAAUCAGCAGACCGGGGGUUCAAGUCCCCCCAGCGGCU